AUUGAACGCUGGCGGCAGGUCUAACACAUGCAAGUCGGACGGUAGCACAGAGGAGCUUGCUCCUCGGGUGACGAGUGGCGGACGGGUGAGUAAUGUCUGGGGAUCUGCCCGAUAGAGGGGGAUAACCACUGGAAACGGUGGCUAAUACCGCAUAACGUCGCAAGACCAAAGAGGGGGACCUUCGGGCCUCUCACUAUCGGAUGAACCCAGAUGGGAUUAGCUAGUAGGCGGGGUAAUGGCCCACCUAGGCGACGAUCCCUAGCUGGUCUGAGAGGAUGACCCGCCACACUGGAACUGAGACACGGUCCAGGCUCCUACGGGAGGCCGCGGUGGGGAAUAUUGCACAAUGGGCGCAAGCCUGCUGCAGCCAUGCCGCGUGUAUGAAGAAGGCCUUCGGGUUGUAAAGUACUUUCAGCGGGGAGGAAGGCGAUGUGGUUAAUAACCUUGUCGAUUGACGUUACCCGCAGAAGAAGCACCGGCUAACUCCGUGCCAGCCGCCGCCGUAA
Molecule: ribosomal RNA, 506 nt
Filed under: uncultured bacterium
Lineage: Bacteria
Description: partial 16S ribosomal RNA
Rfam family: Bacterial small subunit ribosomal RNA
Source: RNAcentral